RNAcentral lists this transfer RNA (67 nucleotides) under Cucumaria miniata. RNAcentral's name for it is "tRNA-Ser". Lineage: Eukaryota; Metazoa; Echinodermata; Holothuroidea; Dendrochirotida; Cucumariidae. The record is from RNAcentral.
AAGAUUUAUAGAUUGAUUCUGGUCUGCUAAACCAUGAAGCCUGUGGUUUGACUCCAUAGAAAUCUUG